GGUGGUCCCACCUGACCCCAUGCCGAACUCAGAAGUGAAACGCCGUAGCGCCGAUGGUAGUGUGGGGUCUCCCCAUGCGAGAGUAGGGAACUGCCAGGU
RNAcentral lists this ribosomal RNA (99 nucleotides) under Escherichia coli. The record is from RNAcentral. Lineage: Bacteria; Pseudomonadati; Pseudomonadota; Gammaproteobacteria; Enterobacterales; Enterobacteriaceae.